GAGCGCCGUAGCAAUACGGAGCGGCAGACGGGAGAGUAACACGUGGGAACGUGCCCUUUGGUUCGGAACAACACAGGGAAACUUGUGCUAAUACCGGAUAAGCCCUUACGGGGAAAGAUUUAUCGCCAAAGGAUCGGCCCGCGUCUGAUUAGCUAGUUGGUGGGGUAACGGCCCACCAAGGCGACGAUCAGUAGCUGGUCUGAGAGGAUGAUCAGCCACACUGGGACUGAGACACGGCCCAGACUCCUACGGGAGGCAGCAGUGGGGAAUAUUGGACAAUGGGCGCAAGCCUGAUCCAGCAAUGCCGCGUGAGUGAUGAAGGCCUUCGGGUUGUAAAGCUCUUUCGCCCGCGACGAUGAUGACGGUAGCGGGAGAAGAAGCCCCGGCUAACUCUGUG
Molecule: ribosomal RNA, 397 nt
Filed under: uncultured bacterium
Lineage: Bacteria
Description: bacterial SSU rRNA
Rfam family: Bacterial small subunit ribosomal RNA
Source: RNAcentral